RNAcentral lists this long non-coding RNA (1826 nucleotides) under Macaca fascicularis (crab-eating macaque). RNAcentral describes it as "lncRNA (ENSMFAG00000049202.1)". The record is from RNAcentral. Lineage: Eukaryota; Metazoa; Chordata; Mammalia; Primates; Cercopithecidae.
UUUUUUUCUUUUUUUUUUAAUACAAAUAAAUAAAUAAACAAUAUGAAAAGACUUUACAAGGACCCUAAAGCCAAGUCAACACCCUAAAUAUUUCUACACCUUUGUCACUGCCAACCACAUUAAGUAGUUCAGCUCAUGGUGAGGUCAUCGUGAAAGAGGAAAUGAAGAAAUACAAUAUUUGGCCCACAAAUUUUGUGUUUUGGGGACACUUCACAGUGAAGAUGAAACAGAACAGGUGGAACGUGAGGCUACCAACCAUCUAUCAGAGUAGGGCUGCUCCAGCUGGGGCUUCGGGAGCUUUGUCUCUCUCUCUCUAAUGACUUGGUUGAGGACGUCUAAGUUAGAAAGGUUUGAAUACGGCUGUGCAGCAUUGUCAAAAAGCUCCCAAAGUGUCACACCCAGGGACCUGUUGGAAAAAGAAAACGGUUGUUUCUCUCUCCUUUUAGAUGUUAAAUUCUUAACACUCACAUUUGUUAUAUAGCCAGUAAUUUUAAGGACAAGGUGUGUAUUGAAAAGAUUAGUAAUACAAUCGUUCUUUUGUUUGUUUUGUUUUGUUUUUUUGAGACAGAGUCUCACUCUGUCACCCAGGCUGGAGUGCAAUGGUGCGGUCUCCACUCACUGCAACCCCUGACUCCCGGGUUCAAGCGAUUCUCCUGCCUCAGUCUCCCAAGUAACUGGGAUUACAUCAUGCCCUGCUAAUUUUUGUAAUUUUAGUAGAGACAGGGUUUCACCAUGUUGGCCAGGCUGCUCUCAAACUCCUGACCUCAGGUGAUCCACCCUCCUUGGCCUCCCAAAGUGCUGAGAUUACAGGCGUGAGCCACCACAACCAGCCAAGAUCGUUCUUUAAUCUCAAACCAAUAAUCAGCACAAUAGCAAAAAAAAAGUAUUUCUGUUAAAAUGAGGAAGCCCAUGCCUCCUAUUUGCUACUGAAUACUACCCUAGACAUUUUGGCCAACGAAAAAUGUACAAAACAGAGAUAAUAGGUGUAAUUAUGUGGAUGAGAUGACUAUCAACUUUUAAGUACUCAACAAAUUAUUGGAAAGACCAUCAGCAUGUUCUAAAAAUUUGGCAGAAUGGCUGGAAACAAGAUAAAUACCCUGAAUUCUGAUUUUUUUUUUGGUAGAAAAAUACACCUAUUAACAACAGUAGUAAACACCAGAAAGCAUCUAAAAGGAAUCUUUACACGGGCAAGACAAUGUCUGAGACCCACAAGUUUGGUUUGAGUUACUCCUCAGUAUCGUGGGUUUUGCUGCCAUUCUGAAGGGAUCCCCCAACACGCUGGCAGCUGUCUGUGUGCCAGGAGAGGCCCUGAGGGCUGACUCACCACAGCCCUUCUCAGUCCCAGCCCAACCCUCUCUCACACCCCGGUGCUCUGUCCCCAUGGAAACAGCCUCUGCUGGCUUCCUGGGUCAGAUGAGCUGCCUCUCGUUUCCUCCACGAAGUCUCUGCAUCUCCUCCCCACCACGCACUGCCUCUGUCCUGCACUUGUGUCUCCUAUUUACUGCCAUGUUCCCGAACCUGACUCUCAUCUGUGUCCUCUGGGAAGCCAUGAACACACACACUGGUAAGUCAGGUCCACCCCUAAGGAUGCUGAGUGGGUAGAUCCAGGAGUGGUCUAGAAAACUCUCUUUUUAAAAAGCUCCCCAGUGAUUGUGAUGUCCAGCCAACCCUGCAUGACACACCCCAAACAACGAGGAAACAACUACAUUUUGACAAAAAUCACUAAAGGAGAGCACCAGAGCACGUCCAAGGAGUAACAGGGACUCAGGAAACUCAGGACGGCCACAGCGAGAGCGGAAGGAAACGCCUGGCCUCCGCCACCCCAU